This 440-nucleotide ribosomal RNA is filed under the name uncultured bacterium. RNAcentral describes it as "bacterial SSU rRNA". It matches the Rfam family "Bacterial small subunit ribosomal RNA", at positions 340 to 774 of the family's 1533-position model. The record is from RNAcentral.
UACGGAAGGCAGCAGUGGGGAAUAUUGCACAAUGGGCGCAAGCCUGAUGCAGCCAUGCCGCGUGUAUGAAGAAGGCCUUCGGGUUGUAAAGUACUUUCAGUCGUGAGGAAGGUGUUAAGGUUAAUAACCUUAGCAAUUGACGUUAGCGACAGAAGAAGCACCGGCUAACUCCGUGCCAGCAGCCGCGGUAAUACGGAGGGUGCGAGCGUUAAUCGGAAUUACUGGGCGUAAAGGGCACGCAGGCGGUUAAUUAAGUUGGAUGUGAAAUCCCCGGGCUUAACCUGGGAAUGGCAUUCAAGACUGGUUAGCUAGAGUCUUGUAGAGGGGGUUAGAAUUCCAUGUGUAGCGGUGAAAUGCGUAGAGAUGUGGAGGAAUACCGGUGGCGAAGGCGGCCCCUGGACAAAGACUGACGCUCAUGUGCGAAAGCUGGGGAGCAAACG